GUGUUUCUGAAGGAACCACAAGUCCUUUAUGGGCUUUAUGAAUUAUUUAGCCUUUGAAAAUUAUACAGCCUUUAUGGAUUUUAUGUUAAAUAUCCUUCCAAUCAGGUUUCCUCUGUGAAGUGACUGCAUAAUUCCUUCUUCUAUGCUAGUUAUUCUUUGGAUUUUAUAUAUUUUGUCUUUGACCUUUUGAACUCUCUUUUGUCUUUGAUGUUUUUCCAUCCAGCAAAUGAGUGGUUAGGGCCCUGCCAGCCCUUCAGGAUUUCAGGAGUUGUGGUAUUUGAUGUAUAAUGUUUAUUUUUUUUUUAAUCUAAUACUAGUUUCGAAGUUCUGCCUCCAUUCUCCUUCUUGCCCUCUGAGUUUAACUAUCACUUAACUGUGUUGUACACAUUUUAAUCUUUCUUCAUGUAUCACCUCUGAAUCCUCUUCAAAUGUUCAGUCUUUUUUGCCUACUGCAUUUUGGGUGCAGUGACUUAUAUACAAAAAUAUGAUAAUGCUGACAUUGGCCACAACUAAAUCUGACCUCUCACAGCUGCAGGCAGAGACAAUUUUGGGUUUUUUUUGCUCUGUUGUCUUUGUGCAUGCCACUCAAAGUAGCUGUGAAGUUUUGGGAGAAGAGCUACUGCAGUCCAAAGUAAUGCCUCAUUUGUUUUGACACUUUGCUUUUUUACAUCAGCUUUUCCCAAAUCAUUUUACAGGAAGCCUGUAUUUGGGAAUUUCAUUCGACAGGUUAUGUUCUUUUAAAUUAAUCCUUUAUUUCCUUUCUACUGCUGCAUUUCUCCACACUUAGUUUUAAAUACUGACAAUUUAUCACCUAGAAAUUUAAUGAAGGAGGUGUUUAUCCCCAAAUUAUUAAUGGCAAUCAUUAGAAAAUCAGGGCUGUGCUUGUCUUGGACACAAGCUGUGAAUAAUUGAGUGGGUUUAUUCCUUACCUGUUCAGGCAGACACUGGGUACUGGAGGGGGAAAAAGGAUGGAUUUGUGUGCAUAGUGAAGAAUACAUCUGGAAUAUAGCUAUUAAUUGAUAUCUGAGAGCUUAUCUCCUAACAGAAUAAUGGAAGAGGUAGAAAGGGACAUGUUGAUAUCAUAGCAUCUGCUGUCCCUUGCUUGAGCAGAGUCAGCUAGAACAGAGAGUGUAGACACUCUCUAGUUUACAGACAGACUGUAGAGUAUCUAGUCAGGUUUGGAGUAUCUCCACUGACUGAAGCUUCCCAGCCUCUCUGGAAACAUUACUUCAGUGUUUGGUCUCCUUCACAGGUCUUGCAUCGAAUUUUGUGUCUUAAUUUGUGGUUCUCUUGUCAUGUCACUGGCUACUCCUAAGAGGAGAGCAGCUCCCUGUUCUUCAGUGCCUUUUAUCAGGUAUUUAUACAGAUCAGUAAGAACCUCCUGAGCCUCCUCUUCUUGAGGACAAACAGCCACAGCCCUCUCAGCCUCUUCAGAGGCUCCUUUUCCUUACUGGUAUUCACCAAUGUCUGUCUUGUAUUGGGGAGCCCAGAACUGGAUAAGCCAUUUCAGUUGUGCUGAAUUCACUGAUUUUGAGUAGGGGGAAAGGAUAGCACUCAAAACUGCCAGACACAUUCUUCCUAGUGCAGCCCUGGGUGCUGUAGGCAUUCUUUGCUUUGAGGUUUCAUUGCUGGCUUCUGAUGAGCUUGUCAUUCCUCCCCAGGUGCAGGACUCUGCAUUCCACCUUGUUGAAUUACCUACAAUGUCCUCUCUGCCUGAUUCUUCAUCCAGUCCAGGUCUCUGUGAGGGGCAGCUUUGCCAACUGCUGUCAGCUACUCAAGUUUAUCUACAAAUUUGC
Molecule: non-coding RNA, 1796 nt
Organism: Sturnus vulgaris (Common starling)
Lineage: Eukaryota; Metazoa; Chordata; Aves; Passeriformes; Sturnidae
Source: RefSeq, a predicted model, not a curated record